CUGACAUACAUUCAUUUCUUAGGCUUUACACACCGUAUGCAGUUCUCAGUGGUCAGCCUAUCUCCUCAUGCUGUGGCUUAAAGAUGUAUUCAUGUCAUGACACCGUCAACCAUAUCGCACAGCCUGGGAGAACCUAAGCAGAAUCGAGACAAUAUUGGUAUCAUGAUUUUGAAUCCUUACCACCUUAAGUAACCAGUCUUGGAUACUUGGUUAACAGCAAUAGAAAAUGACCAGUCCA
Molecule: long non-coding RNA, 238 nt
Organism: Rattus norvegicus (Norway rat)
Lineage: Eukaryota; Metazoa; Chordata; Mammalia; Rodentia; Muridae
Source: RefSeq, a predicted model, not a curated record